Molecule: long non-coding RNA, 1379 nt
Filed under: Oryza sativa (Asian cultivated rice)
Lineage: Eukaryota; Viridiplantae; Streptophyta; Magnoliopsida; Poales; Poaceae
Description: long non-coding RNA (OSAT_LNC001650)
Source: RNAcentral
CCCUACAACCCUCCUGUGCGACAACGCAUCUUGCGUCCUCCUCCCUCGUCGGUACGCUGCCUCCACUGCCGAGAGAUCGAGACGGCGCUCGCCGGCUCACGUCUUCCCCAACCCCACCGCCGUCGUGCCCCCACAUCCCCUCUGUCCACAAAUCCCACACCUCCCCGCACGGCGUCGUGUUCCUCCUCCUCCCAAUCUCCACCGCCUCUAAUCGGGGGUUCGUGGCCGUCCAAAUCCGGGCGUCGCACCAACGAGGACAGAUGGAUGGGGACUCACCAGCCAUGAAGUAGAAGAGGCCUGCGGUGGAGAGAGGCAACAACCCGCUGCGCUCUCCCCAAUCUAGUCCCCUGGAGGGCAUGUGCGUUGGUAAUGAAACUAGAAGUUUUAGUCUAGAAUCCUUUCCCCUCCCCAUAACACAUAUGUGUCUGUUCGUUAAUUCUGAGUGUAUGCUCAUCUUCAGAUUUAGAAAGGGCGUAGUUUCUUCAUAAGAAAUAUCAUAUGACUGAAGUUUUUAUAGAAUUUAUAAAUUUGCCGACUGCUGAUUUAUCUCCCUUAUUUUAAUUUAUUUGUUUUUAGCACUACUGGACAGGUGAUCUUUGCUGGGUCGGCCGAUUUCCAUAAUAGUCCCAGUUACUUAAAAAGCCGGGACUAAAGAUAAUCUUUAGUCCUGGUUUAUUUGUCCAAGGGGACUAUACGAUCUUUAGUCCCGGUUCAUAGAUCAUCUUUAAUCCCGGUUCACCUCGUAUCAGAGGCUGUCAGGUCCUCAAAAAUCUUUACUCCUGGUUGGUGUUACCAACCGGGACUAAAGUGAUCUUUAGUCCCGGUUGUUGUUUUCAACCGGGGCUAAAGUUUAUAUCGAUCUUUAAUCCCGGUUGGUAUUACCAACCAGGAGUAAAAAUGAAUAUACCGUAUAUAAUCCCUUUGCACGUAUCCUCAAAAAUUUCUAUCUCGUAUUCCUCCUCACUCUUAUCCUCUCCUUGUCUUCCUACUACUCCUCUCUCUCACACAGUUCUUAUCCUCUUUUCUCACAGAGCCGGCGAGGAGCGGGCUGCGGCGGCGGGAGACGCGCGCGGAGGAGGAGAUUGGGAGGGCGGCGGGCCGCGGGAGACGGCGCGGCCGGCGGCCUGCUCAGCGAUUUUUUUUUUUUAGAAUUUGUGAUUGAAGAUCUGAGAUGUGUUUUAUUUGUGUGUGAUGUAUUCAUGUGAUGUAUUUGUGAUGAUUUUUUACAACUUGUGAUGUAAGUUUAUAGAAUUUGUGAUGUAUUUGGAGAUGAUCGAUUUGAGGAUUUGGAUGUAUCUUUUGUUAUGUGAUCUGUUGGAUUUGUGAUCUGUGAUGAUUUAUUUGGGAUGAUUUGGGGAUGGAGUGAAAUCAAUAUUCAA